RNAcentral lists this transfer RNA (74 nucleotides) under Bacillota bacterium. Its description in RNAcentral is "Firmicutes bacterium (gut metagenome) tRNA-Gly". It matches the Rfam family "tRNA". Rfam says of the family: Transfer RNA (tRNA) molecules are approximately 80 nucleotides in length. Lineage: Bacteria; Bacillati; Bacillota. The record is from RNAcentral.
GCGGACGUAGUUUAGUGGUAAAAUAAAAGCCUUCCAAGCUUUGGUUGUGGGUUCGAUUCCCAUCGUCCGCUCCA